This 436-nucleotide ribosomal RNA is filed under the name uncultured bacterium. RNAcentral describes it as "partial 16S ribosomal RNA". It matches the Rfam family "Bacterial small subunit ribosomal RNA", at positions 27 to 507 of the family's 1533-position model. The record is from RNAcentral.
GAGCGAACGCUGGCGGCAGGCUUAACACAUGCAAGUCGAGCGGGCAUCUUCGGAUGUCAGCGGCAGACGGGUGAGUAACACGUGGGAACGUACCCUUCGGUUCGGAACAACUCUGGGAAACUGGAGCUAAUACCGGAUACGCCCUUAUGGGGAAAGGUUUACUGCUGAAGGAUCGGCCCGCGUCUGAUUAGCUAGUUGGUGGGGUAACGGCCUACCAAGGCGACGAUCAGUAGCUGGUCUGAGAGGAUGAUCAGCCACACUGGGACUGAGACACGGCCCAGACUCCUACGGGAGGCAGCAGUGGGGAAUAUUGGACAAUGGGCGCAAGCCUGAUCCAGCCAUGCCGCGUGAGUGAUGAAGGCCUUAGGGUUGUAAAGCUCUUUUGUCCGGGACGAUAAUGACGGUACCGGAAGAAUAAGCCCCGGCUAACUUCGUG